RNAcentral lists this ribosomal RNA (638 nucleotides) under uncultured fungus. Its description in RNAcentral is "eukaryotic LSU rRNA". The stretch from base 254 to 407 matches the Rfam family "5.8S ribosomal RNA". The record is from RNAcentral. Lineage: Eukaryota; Fungi.
CUUGGUCAUUUAGAGGAAGUAAAAGUCGUAACAAGGUCUCCGUUGGUGAACCAGCGGAGGGAUCAUUACCGAGUUUACAACUCCCAAACCCAUGUGAACAUUACCUCUAUGUUGCUUCGGCGGAGCCGCCCCGGCGCCCGGAACCCCCUGCGGUCCCGCGGCCCGGGACCAAGGCGCCCGCCGAAGGCCACAAACUCUUCUGUUUUUACAGUUUCUUCUGAGUGUGCCGCAAGGCAGUAUACAAAUGAAUCAAAACUUUCAACAACGGAUCUCUUGGUUCUGGCAUCGAUGAAGAACGCAGCGAAAUGCGAUAAGUAAUGUGAAUUGCAGAAUUCAGUGAAUCAUCGAAUCUUUGAACGCACAUUGCGCCCGCCAGAAUUCUGGCGGGCAUGCCUGUUCGAGCGUCAUUUCAACCCUCGAGCUCCCCUUUCGGGGGGAGCCCGGCGUUGGGGACCCGGCGCUAACAACGCCGGCCCCGAAAUGGAGUGGCGGCCCGUCCGCGGCGACCUCUGCGUAGUAACAACCACUCGCACCGGGACCCGGGCGCGGCCACGCCGUAAAACACCCCACCUUCCGAAUGUUGACCUCGAAUCAGGUAGGAAUACCCGCUGAACUUAAGCAUAUCAAUAAGCGGAGGA